This is a long non-coding RNA of Lycium barbarum (goji berry), 4326 nucleotides long. RefSeq lists it as uncharacterized. The transcript is spliced from 3 exons. NCBI's taxonomy places the organism in Eukaryota, Viridiplantae, Streptophyta, Magnoliopsida, Solanales, Solanaceae. The record is from RefSeq and is a predicted model, not a curated record.
GUUUGGCUCACCUCCAGUACUUCAUCCCUCCAUUUCCCCAAGUACAGCCUUAAAAUUUCGCCACAUGUCUCUUAAAUAAUCUAACGGAUCAGAUCUAUUUGAUUAACCAAAGAUGUUUUAACCAUGAUAAAAUAUUCUCUCUCCUAAUCUCUCCAAUUGUUGCUUUUAUCAUUUCUUUCUCAGAAAAGAAGAAGAUGAGUACUAAUUUAUGAGUUCUACCUUGUUGCAAUUAAAUUUAGUUGUUGUUGUUGGUUGUUUGAUAAUGGAAGAAAAUCAAUGGCGAAACAGAGAGGGAAAACGAAAAUUUCAUAGUUUUUUGUGGGAUUUUCACCUCCAAAUUACAUGCUUUGGUUCAUUUUCACACGACCCCAAUUUGAAGGAUUGACUUCCUUUUUUUUUUUUUUUGGGUCAAUCGUUGUUGUUGAUUUAACAGAAGACUUUUACUCUGUUUCUUGCACAAUUAAGAAAUAACACAUCUUUCCUUUAAAUCAUUCAAAAAAGAGAAGAACAAGAUCCAUAGGGUGCAACUGAAAUAUCAAAUUUCAGAGAAUGGAGUCAGUGAUAUGCACCUUUGAUUUGCGUUGCUUUGCAGAUUUUUUUUUUUAACUCUAGUUAGACAAUCAGUUAAGGAAAUUAAAUAUGGACCAUUGAUUGAAAAAGUGGACAGAUGUUGCUCAUUUAAAGGUGUACUGGAUGAAAUGGAGGAGAUCCCCACUGGAGGGGAGCCGAGUCCUGUACUAGGGGGACACCAAGCUUCAAAGAUAUGCUCAAAUUUGUCUAUAGUGUCUAGAAUUUUGUGUCUACUCCAAGAGCCUAUUUACAUGAUGAGGGAUAUUUCACAUUCCUGUUCAAUACGAGUGUAGAUAAGAAUUCCAUCAUGCAGAAUGACCCAUACACAUACAACAACAGACCAAUGAUUCUUCGAAAUUGGGUGAAGGACUUCAAAUUCAAACAAAAAAUGCUAAGAAUCAUACCACUAUGGGUACUAUUUCCUGGAUUACCUGUUUACUAUUGGGCUGAAGAAAACUUGGGAAUGAUUGCUAGUUUCAUUUGGAAACCUAUAUGUGUUGAUCUUCUAACAGUUGAAAUUUAGAGGAUAUCCUUUGCAAGGAUCCUCAUAGAAGUAGACAUCACUUAGGAGCUAUCUGAUGAGUUGUAUAUUGAGCAGCCUGAUGGUUCAAUUUUGUUUGAGGAAGUAGAUUAUGAAUGGACUCCAAAAUAUUGCUCUAAAUGUUUGAAACUGGACAUGAUGAUGGAGAAUAUAAGAAGGAAAGGGACAAUGAUCAACCAGAGAAACAACAAGAACCUGCUCUUAAGAGGAAGAAGGCAAGAAGAAGAACAAGGCAAGUUCAAUCUCAAUAACUACCUAAACCCAAUGUACAAAAUGCUGCUAACAAUACUGAAGUGCGACUAGAUAAGGGUAAAGGUGAGCAGCAAGUAGAAGAUCACCCUUUUCCUUCUUUGGAAUCAGUUCAGACUAGACAACAGAGUAACAAAGGGAGUACUAGUUAGAAGCAAGACAAUCUCACAAAGACAGGUGAAGGGCCAGGUCCUGGCACAAAGGAUCUGUUACACCUCGUAGUCGUGUACGUGAAAUCUAUUAGGAGUUAGUUGGUUAAGUCUAGACGUGGAGCAUUUAUCUCAUGGCUACGAGGGUUUGAGUUCAUAUAAUAAGCUAUGAACGACUCUGGGACCAAGCAAGUCAAGGAAAAUAAGUUUGUCAAAAAAUUUGAAAUAGGAUUUGAGUCAACUUUGGAGGGGUAUAUCUCCAUGUGUAUUAGGAGUUUUAAGGCGUUUCAAAAUCCUAAAAUGAAGUUCGUCGAGUCUAGUUUAUAAUGCAACAAACCGCGCGUCUAUAGGACAUCGGAGUAGAGAAUUAUAGACGUUACAACUGAACUGACAGAGCAGAAACAGGGACGCUACAGUACUGCUACAGUGCAGCCGACCUCAGCCCUUAUAAAAAGGGUUAAAACCCCAUUUUUUUCAUCCAAAAUUCUCCAAAUGUCCCAGAAAAUUCAGCACCAAAAAGGGCUCUUAAAUAUUACAUAGAAGUGAGGCUCUUCAGCAAAAUUCAAGCUACGGAAUACUAAUCGAAGACCGAACAACUUGUAGUCGCGAUUAUCAUAUCGUUUUGUGUUGGAUUUAGCUUGGGAACAAGUGAUUAUUGGAGAUCUUGAUAUUUUAGUAAAAAUAAGGCUCGGGUGAAGGGCAAGCUUCGAUAUAAGGAAUUAUUUAAGUGGUGGCUUGACGGAUAAGGCUCUGACAGAUUCAUUGAGGAGCAACCGCAGUAGGAUUUCCAGCUUCAGCGGUGUUAGCAAGUACCACUACUCCGGGCUUGCUAUCUUUUGGUAUUUUUCUGUUAGUGUAAUAUAUGUUCAUAUGUAUACUCUUAGAGGCUCAUGGACAUUGUGGGAUAUGUAAAUAUUAUGUAUGGCCUUGUCGGCCUUGAUUGGGCUUCUUGAUAUGUUUUUGAUAGCCUUGUCGGCUUUAAGAUAUACUUGAUGUUGUAGCGACCUUGUCGGUCCGCAUAUGUAUAUAUGUGUUGAUUUAUCGAGUACUUUUAUGUUGGCCCUUUUCCGCGAGCAGACGUUCUUGAGUUAUGGUAUGUGAUGUCCAAGUAACAGUUAAGUCAUGUGACUUCGGCCUACAGGUCAGAGCCUGUCAUACUCCUCGUCGAGGGUGUGACAGGAUCAAUCUGAUUUUUUAGAGAACAAGCAGAGUAAGUCACCUGAAGUAUAUAACAGGGCUGAAGCACUUGAUCCACCACAAUCUCAAUUAUAUUCAGUUAUUGGAACAUAAGAGGGCUGAAUAGGCCCUUCAAGCAAAAAGAGUUGAAAAACCUUUUGCUUAAGAAUAAAAUGGAUUUGAUAGGUUGUUUAGAGACAAAAAUAAGGGAUUAUAAGGCAUAACAAGUGAAAAGGGAGUUCGGACAAGAAUGACAAAUUAAAUGAGAGGAUAUGGUUAAUAUGGAUACAUGCCACAGAUGAGGUCACUAUUAUGGAUUCUACAUCCCAACUAGUUCAUUGUAAGGUACAAGAUAAGGACUCUUCUUUCUCUUAUAUCAUGACUUUUGUCUAUGGAUUUAACACUGCUACAUAAAGAAUGAGUCUAUGGAAUCAUCUAAGAACACUGGUUGCAACUAUAGUUGACCCUUGGCUGAUUCUAGGGGAUUUUAAUGCUAUUCUGUCCCAUGAGGAUAAAAUCAAUGGGUGUUCCUAUCACACUACAAAAGACUGCAGAGUUUUAGAAAUGUGUUGAAGAUAUUGGGGUAAGGCAGAUACUAAGGAGAGGAAAUCACUUUUCAUGGUGCAACAAAAGAUAUGAGGCUGCUAGGAUUUACAGUCAUAUUGAUUGGGCAUUUGGUAAUCAUGUAUGGUUCUUGCACUACAACUAUAUGGAGGUUGAUUUUUAAGAACCAGGGUGCUCUGAUCAUUCCCCCAUUCUCUUAAAUUCAAUAGCUAAUCAUACUCAAACUAGAAGACCUUUUAGGUUAGUGAAUGUGGUUAUGCAACAUAAGAACUUUUGAGAUCUGGUUCAGGACAUUUGGGCUCAGAAUGUAGAGGGAUACAAGAUGUAUAGUAACUAGAAGAAGUUUCAUAUGUUGGCAUAUCAAUCAGGAUAGCUACAAAAGAAGUAUUCAUCCAUUGAGAAAAGACUGAACCAAUCAGACUAAGAUUGAAAGAGGUACAAGAUGAACUGGCCUAUAGCCUGUUGUUCGACCAGGUACAAGUUAAAUUCGAAAUAUUGACUACUAAGCUUAAAGUUGUGGUUGAUUAUAUUAUCAGUCCAUCCCAAUCAGCUUUCAUUAAAGGGAGGAAUAUUUUGGAUAAUGUGAUUAUUGCUCAUGAAUUGGUGAAAGGUUACUCACAAAAAAGGGUACCUUUAAGGUGCACAAUUAAAGUAGACAUAAGGAAAACUUAUGAUUCAAUAGAGUGACCUAAAAAGAUGAUUCUAUUGGAGUUUGGGUUGCCCACUAAGCUAGUUGAGCUAAUAAUGGAAUGUGUUACCACAGUUCAGUAUCCCCUGUUGAUUAAUGGUAGAUUAACUCCUCUAUUCAAAGCCAAGAAGGGGUUAUGGCAAGGGAAUCCAAUGUCCCCUUAUUUAUUUUUGUUGGUCAUGGAAUAUUUGCAUAUAACUUUGCUACAAUUAAGACAUGUUUCACAGUUCAACUAUCAUAUCCAAGGUACGCAAAGCUUGGCAUAAGUCAUAUAUGCUUUGCUGAUGAGUUGUAAAGCCAAUGUAGAGUCUAUACACCUACUGUUCAACAGUUUUAAACACUUCUCAGAGGUUUAUGAUUUUUAUGAAAAUACGGAAAAGAGCUCAUUA